RNAcentral lists this transfer RNA (70 nucleotides) under Marmota monax (woodchuck). Its description in RNAcentral is "tRNA.Ala". Lineage: Eukaryota; Metazoa; Chordata; Mammalia; Rodentia; Sciuridae. The record is from RNAcentral.
GGGCUGGGGCUCAGCGGUAGAGCACUUGCCUUGCAUGUGUGAGGCUCUGGGUUGGAUCCUCAGCAUCACA